This 532-nucleotide ribosomal RNA is filed under the name Ametrodiplosis adetos. RNAcentral describes it as "partial large subunit ribosomal RNA". The record is from RNAcentral. Lineage: Eukaryota; Metazoa; Arthropoda; Insecta; Diptera; Cecidomyiidae.
GGUCUUUAUAAUUUAUUAAAGAUUUAACCUGCCCAUUGAAAUUUUUUAAAAGGCCGCAGUAUAUUGACUGUGCUAAGGUAGCAUAGUAAUUAGGUUUUUAAUUGAGAUCUUGAAUGAAUGGUUGGAUGAAAUAUGAGCUUUUUUAUUUUUAAAAAUUGAAUUUUAUUUAUUAGUGAAAAAGCUAAUAUUUAUUAAUGGGACGAGAAGACCCUAUAGAAUUUUAUAAUUUAAUUUUAAUUUACUAUUAUGUUUGUUUAUAAAUUAAAAUUAAAUUAUUUUAUUGGGGAGAUAUUUAAAUUUGUUUAACUUUAAUUUUUAAAUUCAUUAAUUUUUGUAUUUAUGAUCUUUUUUUAUAGAUUAAAAAUUUAAAUUACCUUAGGGAUAACAGCAUAAUUUUUUUAAGAAGUUCUUAUUUUUAAAAUAUUUUAUGACCUCGAUGUUGAAUUAAAAUAAUUUUUAUAUGAAGAAAUAUAAUUAAUAAGUCUGUUCGACUUUUAAAUUUUUACAUGAUUUGAGUUCAAACCGGUGUGAG